AUGGGGACUAGCCCGGGUGGUUCGGCGUCACCUGUAACCUGAAACCGCCGGUAUGCGGGGGGCGAAGUUCGAGGAAGGCCGAAGCGGGCUGCGGGAGGCUGGAGUUUCUCUUCGUUGAAACCUCGUCCUGUGAGGUCGGUGGACAGGGAUCAAAGCCCCGGAGGGGGCGGCGACCUGCUGCUGCGGGGAACGGUUCAGGCCCGGAAGGGAGCAGACUUACCGUGGACAUCCGGCGCCCACAGGGUCGCGGGGCGGAGGAGGGAGGCUUUCUGCGAACGCAGUUACAUUCGGUCGACCAAGAACAUGUCCCCAC
This 313-nucleotide signal recognition particle RNA is filed under the name Methanolinea sp. RNAcentral's name for it is "signal recognition particle sRNA". It matches the Rfam family "Archaeal signal recognition particle RNA". RNAcentral also lists the same sequence under 1 other name. Lineage: Archaea; Methanobacteriati; Methanobacteriota; Methanomicrobia; Methanomicrobiales; Methanoregulaceae. The record is from RNAcentral.